UACAGAGGUCUCAAGCGUUGUUCGGAUUCAUUGGGCGUAAAGGGUGCGUAGGCGGCGCGGUAAGUCGGGUGUGAAAUCUUGGAGCUUAACUCCGAAACUGCAUUCGAUACUGCCGUGCUUGAGGACUGGAGAGGAGACUGGAAUUUACGGUGUAGCGGUGAAAUGCGUAGAUAUCGUAAGGAAGACCAGUGGCGAAGGCGGCUCUCUGGGACGGUACUGACGCUGAGUGCGCGAAAGCCAGGGGAGCAAACGGG
RNAcentral lists this ribosomal RNA (254 nucleotides) under uncultured bacterium. RNAcentral describes it as "partial 16S ribosomal RNA". It matches the Rfam family "Bacterial small subunit ribosomal RNA", at positions 524 to 776 of the family's 1533-position model. The record is from RNAcentral.